UUUCGUUACGUAUGUCACACAGGAUUGUUAACUGGCAUAACUACAAACGUUUUGAGGACAAACAUUUAUUGUUCAGAUUUUCACAUUUUCAGCGUCUUCCUUUUUUUUUUAUAAAUUUUGUCCAUUGGUCUCUAUAGUGGCGGAUCUAGAACUUUGCCUUAGGGGGGCACUCCGGUUAUGCUUCAAUGAUUCCCUAUAUAAUAAACCAAAUUUUCCCACGAAAGAGGGGGUCGGGGCCCCCCAGGAUUGGCCUAUGCUUUAUCACGCAGUUACUGUCUUUUUUUCAGUUUUUAGCAAAUGUUCCUCUUUGUCAUUUAUUCAUUUUUUCUGCACUUUUAAUUUUGUCAUAUUAUUCUCUAUUCAGUUAACCCAGCCCAGACCCUCAUAUGAUUGUGAUCAUUACUAUUGAGCAUGUUGAGUGUGCAAG
RNAcentral lists this long non-coding RNA (427 nucleotides) under Mytilus galloprovincialis (Mediterranean mussel). The record is from RNAcentral. Lineage: Eukaryota; Metazoa; Mollusca; Bivalvia; Mytilida; Mytilidae.